UUAGCUCGUUCUUUCUCUAAC
Molecule: unclassified non-coding RNA, 21 nt
Filed under: Mus musculus (house mouse)
Lineage: Eukaryota; Metazoa; Chordata; Mammalia; Rodentia; Muridae
Description: oocyte_clustered_small_RNA10388
Source: RNAcentral